Heterocephalus glaber (naked mole-rat) is the source of this 736-nucleotide long non-coding RNA. The record is from Ensembl. NCBI's taxonomy places the organism in Eukaryota, Metazoa, Chordata, Mammalia, Rodentia, Bathyergidae.
GUUUUCGGCCUCUGGUCCCUUCAGCCCUUCAGCUCUGUUGGACAAAGGGACAUCUGUGCUUUCCCCGGCAGAGACUUGGGAAAUCUGAGGCCCUGGCUCUGUGGCUGCAGGCACUGGUCAUCAACUGCCAAAUGUACCUGGGGUCAACCUGGAAGUUCAAGGUGAUCACGGUAUGCAAACCAUCAAGGCUUCAACGUCCCACAAGGGUCAUCACUGGCUGGCAGUCUCUGAGGGGAUGGAGCUAAGGAUAUGGAGCAGAAGUUCAGUGCUAAUGAAAAAGGAAAGAUUUGCCAGGAGCCGAUUUGACCGGAAUGAUAUGGCAAGAGAAAAAAAUGCCACCAAGUUUUAACAGGGACAUGACAUAAGGUCAAGAUUUUGAACACCAUUUUGAGAACCACUGUGGCUUCAUUAUUGAGUCCCAUGAACUCUCUCACAAGCUCAGGGCUGGGUGGAUAAGGACUGGAGGGAAAAAUCUGCUUUUCCAGGAAUGGACCAAUAUGGAUUAUCUGGUGUUACAUAAAACUAGUAAUUCUACAGUUUAAUAAAAACACAAGUCGGCAGAUAAGAAAACGUGUAUCCUCUUAUGCUUAAGCCGCUUUCUAUGCUUAAGCAAGCUAUUUCUAAGGGCCUAGAACUUUCAGCUGAGAUUAAGGAAAUGAACACAUUAUAAAUCUGCAGGCAUUUAAGUCUCUUUGACACAAGACAAUGAACUCAUGAAAGAAGUUUUCAAUCAGAC